AUCACACCUCCGAACACCUCUACGAGAGGUCCCAUAGAACCCGCUUUAAGCACGACACGAGACCCAAGAGCUUGGGGCUGAGUGACACGUACCCUCUCUUCGCCAAGCCACCGAGUUAUGAAAGCCACCUAAAGUUCAAAGUGAACGUGACUGACAGCCCAACGAUCUCAAUCACACCGCCCCACAGUUUGGACUACGCCCCCAAAGCGGGGUGGGGCAGCCCCAACGGCAGCGCGACCCCCAACGGGAUGGUCUCCAGCCGGUCGGGGGCCACCACCGUCCUCCUGAGCCCUGGCUACCUGCAGGGCCCUUGCCAAUGUAACGCGUCUAUAAAGAGCGUAAGUGAAGUAGCGUUAGCCAUGCCAGUGUCAGCAGGGUGGACCGACGAGUCGCCGGCGACGGGCCCAUCCGAUGGCCUGUCGUGGAGGCGGCUGCACAUGUCGCGAGCCAAGCUGAAAGCUACGGCCACCACCUCCGAACUGCUAUCAGGCUUCGCCAUGGUAGCAAUGGUGGAACUCCAAAUCAACGAGCCGACGAACGUGCCAGAAUGGCUCUUCGUAAUGUUCGCUGUCUGCACCACCGUGCUGGUCGCAGUCCAUAUCUUUGCACUCAUGAUCUCCACCUACCUCCUGCCGAAUAUCGACGCGGUGAGCAAGAUGGAGACUCCUGGUGGCCCGGCGAGAGCCCUGAGGGACUCCCCUCACGAACGCAUGAGAGGCUUCAUAGAGCUCGCGUGGGCAUUUAGUACAGUUCUUGGUCUAUUCCUGUUCCUGGUGGAGAUUGCGAUCUUGUGCUGGGUGAAGUUUUGGGACUACUCAUUCGCGGCCGCUACGGCUGCCACCGUCAUCGUUAUACCAGUGCUAAUCGUCUUCGUAGCGUUUGCAAUACAUUUCUACCACUCACUCGUAGUGCAGAAAUGCGAGACGUCAGUCCAGGACAUCGAACAGCUGGAAAGCAUGAAGCGAGACCUGGACACGGCUACCGUUAAGGUCAACAUGUUUUAGGAGUUUUAUUACCUAGGACUAGGACAUAAGAACUAUCUGUGGAGAAAACAAAACCUUGCGGAGACACUGAAACCUGUAGGAUCUAAACAGUUGGUCAGGAAUUGUAGCAUACAGUUCAAAGGCAAAACAAAAACCUAACGCAACAGUGACACAGAUGAUAUAAAAUUACAAAUAAAAAAAUCUCAAGAGUAACACUCAAAAUGUAAAGUGUCACGAAUAUUUUGUAAUCUAAAUUAAGACGAUGGAUCUAAAAAUCACAACGACUCGAAUCGAAUUAAAUAAAAUGGAUUUCAAAUCCGUUAUUGAUAUUUUAGUUGGUAAGUAAAGCGCGCUUUUUGGGUCUAGUUUCAAAGAUAUUGAAUACCAUAAGUGUAACUGGGGUAUUCAAUAUUGUUGCUACUUUUACUGUUUCUUCCAUGGAAAGUGAUAUUGUGAUUCAUUUUAGGUAUAAUUACUGCAGGCAGCUAGUUAGUAAAUCGUAAUUUUGUUAGUCUCAAAGAUGUGUUAAUUAAUUUAUGUAAAUAAAAUAAUAUUGUUAUCUUUUAGUUAAACUUAUGUAAAAGACAAACGAAUAACUCAAAAAUAUCAUGGUCACUGAAUUGAUAUGUCACAUUAUAAAUUUUUUAUAAUUAUCUUAUUCUGAAAAUGUAAGAGAUUUUAUACUUUGUACAACGAUCAUGUGGUUGACUAGACUACGGAUUUUUGCUAAUUUAAACAAUUGCCUUAUGGUUAAUUUUAUUCUUUAACAUGGAAUUGAAAUUAGAUUAAAUAUUAAUUUAUGUACUUAGAUAUUGUGAACGUUUAUGUACUCAGUAUUUAUUAUUAUUUAAAACAAUUUCAAAAUGGUGCAAAAUUUCUUAGACGUAAGUUAUAUAGGGUGCUAUAAAACACAAAAAAUAGUACAAUAAAAACAGAAUAAAAUUGAAAAAGUGGAUCUGAAAAUGUGUAAAAUUCCAGGUCACCAAAGAGUCUUCCAAAAUAUUGAUUUUUUCCAUAUUAAAAGACUGCGUUAGGGCUUUUAAUUUCAGUUCUAGUUUCUUUUAAGAAAAUAAAUUAAUACAAUAAACUUAAAUUAGGUAAUUCAUAAUGUGCUUACCUAAAUGGUGUAGCGAUUUAUUCUGCUAUUCUACGACGAAGUGAGGUGAGAUCACUGCGUACGCGCACGCUUUUCGGAACCAAAAUUCGCUUAAGAAAAGUAAGAAAUAGUACACACAAGUCAAUUAUACCUUCUUUACCAGAUUUUGCGGUAAAGACAAGAUUUGACGUCACUAGUUCGCGAAUCGCGAAAUUUUUGUCUUAUUUCUAUUGAUGAUUAAUUGUGUCAACUACCACCCCGCGGGUAGAUGGCGAUGGAGUGUAAAAUAACUCUUAUGAAGGACUAAACAAGAUCGAUAUUGUGAUAUUUUGGAAACAUGAUAUUUUAAAAUGUGAGUAAAAUAAGUUUAAUUCUACAGAAGUUAUCGCUAGCGGCGAUGAUGACAAUGUAUUAAUUUAUAUCAUAGUAUGUAUACCUAGUUAGUUAUUCUGACCCAUGUGUUGUAAUAGUUAAAUAAAAGAUGAUAAUGUAAUUU
Molecule: RNA transcript, 2575 nt
Organism: Ostrinia furnacalis (Asian corn borer)
Lineage: Eukaryota; Metazoa; Arthropoda; Insecta; Lepidoptera; Crambidae
Gene name: protein orai
Exons: 7
Source: RefSeq, a predicted model, not a curated record